RNAcentral lists this ribosomal RNA (422 nucleotides) under uncultured bacterium. Its description in RNAcentral is "bacterial SSU rRNA". It matches the Rfam family "Bacterial small subunit ribosomal RNA", at positions 32 to 434 of the family's 1533-position model. The record is from RNAcentral.
AAUCAACGCUGGCGGCGUGCCUCAGACAUGCAAGUCGAACGCGAAAGUUUCCUUCGGGGAACAAGUAGAGUGGCGCACGGGUGAGUAACACGUAGGUAAUCUACCUUUGGAUGGGGAAUAACAACCGGAAACGGUUGCUAAUACCGCAUAAUGCAGCGGCACCUAAUGGUGACAGUUGUUAAAGCGGGGGAUCGAAAGACCUCGCGUCUGAAGAGGAGCCUGCGGCGGAUUAGCUAGUGGUAAGGUAAUGGCUUACCAAGGCGACGAUCCGUAACCGGCCUGAGAGGGCGGUCGGUCACACUGACACUGACAUACGGGUCAGACUCCUACGGGAGGCAGCAGUCGGGAAUUUUGGGCAAUGGGCGAAAGCCUGACCCAGCAACGCCGCGUGAAGGAUGAAAUCCCUCGGGAUGUAAACUUCG